This 545-nucleotide long non-coding RNA is filed under the name Brassica napus (rape). RNAcentral describes it as "long non-coding RNA (BNAP_LNC004092)". Lineage: Eukaryota; Viridiplantae; Streptophyta; Magnoliopsida; Brassicales; Brassicaceae. The record is from RNAcentral.
UGUAAUACAUGCAUCAAUAUGUAUGUGAAGAUUCUAAUUUUCCAAGGCAUAAAGUUGUAACAAAAAAAAACCCACUGAAUAUACACACUUUCUACAAUUUUAAUUUAAGAAGAUAGGCUAAAACAGUUCAUAUGAACCCCACUCAACAAGUUUUUAUAUUUAAUCGUCUCUCUAUUAGCCAGUCCGUUUACGUUUUCAAAUAGUAUUUAAAUUAUUCGUCUACAAAAAAAAUAUACAUUGCAUUUCUCAAUAAAUAAUAUUUCCUCACAUACAUUAUAGAAUUCCUAAUGGUAACUAAAUAUGUGACUCUCAAAAGUGUUGCAACUGUUCUAAUAAUAACUUCUUCAUUUUAAACAAAUCCCAACAUCAUCAAACGACUAAAUACAAAAUCACCACACCAUUGAAAAACUACUACAAAUAGAAUUAUCUUAUAUCAUAACCUAAGUACAAUUUUUGAGUCAAAAUAUUAAGUGUUAACUUAAAAUUAGUUUUUAAACAAAAAGAUAAACACUAUUAAACCUAAUAAAAUAGUUUUUAUUAUAAUU